RNAcentral lists this ribosomal RNA (536 nucleotides) under uncultured bacterium. RNAcentral's name for it is "partial 16S ribosomal RNA". It matches the Rfam family "Bacterial small subunit ribosomal RNA", at positions 355 to 902 of the family's 1533-position model. The record is from RNAcentral.
UGGGGAAUAUUGCACAAUGGGCGAAAGCCUGAUGCAGCGACGCCGCGUGCGGGAUGAAGGCCUUCGGGUUGUAAACCGCUUUUAAUUGGGAGCAAGCGAGAGUGAGUGUACCUUUUGAAUAAGCACCGGCUAACUACGUGCCAGCAGCCGCGGUAAUACGUAGGGUGCAAGCGUUAUCCGGAAUUAUUGGGCGUAAAGAGCUCGUAGGCGGUUUGUCACGCCUGGUGUGAAAGUCCAUCGCUUAACGGUGGAUCUGCGCCGGGUACGGGCAGGCUAGAGUGCAGUAGGGGAGAUUGGAAUUCCCGGUGUAACGGUGGAAUGUGUAGAUAUCGGGAAGAACACCAAUGGCGAAGGCAGAUCUCUGGGCUGUUACUGACGCUGAGGAGCGAAAGCAUGGGGAGCGAACAGGAUUAGAUACCCUGGUAGUCCAUGCCGUAAACGGUGGAUGCUGGAUGUGGGACCCUUCCACGGGUUCCGUGUCGGAGCUAACGCGUUAAGCAUCCCGCCUGGGGAGUACGGCCGCAAGGCUAAAACUC